This 454-nucleotide ribosomal RNA is filed under the name uncultured bacterium. Its description in RNAcentral is "partial 16S ribosomal RNA". It matches the Rfam family "Bacterial small subunit ribosomal RNA", at positions 28 to 507 of the family's 1533-position model. The record is from RNAcentral.
GAUGAACGCUGACAGAAUGCUUAACACAUGCAAGUCAACUUGAACUUCGGUUUGGGUGGCGGACGGGUGAGUAACGCGUAAAGAACUUGCCUCACAGCUAGGGACAACAUUUGGAAACGAAUGCUAAUACCUGAUAUUAUGAUUUUAGGGCAUCCUAGAAUUAUGAAAGCUAUAUGCGCUGUGAGAGAGCUUUGCGUCCCAUUAGCUAGUUGGAGAGGUAACGGCUCACCAAGGCGAUGAUGGGUAGCCGGCCUGAGAGGGUGAACGGCCACAAGGGGACUGAGACACGGCCCUUACUCAUACGGGAGGAAGCAGUGGGGAAUAUUGGACAAUGGACCAAGAGUCUGAUCCAGCAAUUCUGUGUGCACGAUGAAGUUUUUCGGAAUGUAAAGUGCUUUCAGUUGGGAAGAAAAAAAUGACGGUACCAACAGAAGAAGUGACGGCUAAAUACGUG